GGUUCCAGGUGUGAAACUAGGAUGAUGGGGCGGGGAAUCCCUCUCCUUCAUGCAGAUUCAAUACGUCUCACACACUCGUCGGAUACACAGGACCCGGAGCUCAACCUUACACAGUGAACCUCGUCAGCCAGAGAUUUCCAAUAAGUUAGAUUCAUCAGACAAUUAGAACAGGAUGAGAAGUAUGGAGAGAGAACUCGUAAAACUUGAGAGUAUGGUUCCUGCUCUCAAGAAUAAAGAAAAUGAAAUGGAUGAGAUUCUGGAGGGAACAGCAGUAUAUAUUUCCCAACUACAGAGACAGCUAGCGGCAAAACUACGAACUCAUGGAUCUCGUCACACUCACCUACUUGGUAGAAUCAACACAAACACUGCGUCAGCUGAUGAACUUAUAAAAUCUAUCAGCAUGAGCCUAGCAAGCAAAACGCUCAAUCCAAAAUAAUGUGGAAAAAAAACUUUUUCAAGCUAUAUGAUAAAUUCUCAGUAUUAUGAAUAAAAAAUAUAAUAUCUUUGUUAUGCAAAGAAAGUAAUCACUCA
Eurytemora carolleeae is the source of this 531-nucleotide long non-coding RNA. RefSeq lists it as uncharacterized. The transcript is spliced from 3 exons. The record is from RefSeq and is a predicted model, not a curated record. NCBI's taxonomy places the organism in Eukaryota, Metazoa, Arthropoda, Copepoda, Calanoida, Temoridae.